This 492-nucleotide ribosomal RNA is filed under the name uncultured bacterium. RNAcentral describes it as "partial 16S ribosomal RNA". It matches the Rfam family "Bacterial small subunit ribosomal RNA", at positions 29 to 507 of the family's 1533-position model. The record is from RNAcentral.
AGUGAACGCUGGCGGUAGGCCUAACACAUGCAAGUCGAACGGCAGCACAGUAAGAGCUUGCUCUUACGGGUGGCGAGUGGCGGACGGGUGAGGAAUACAUCGGAAUCUACUUUUUCGUGGGGGAUAACGUAGGGAAACUUACGCUAAUACCGCAUACGACCUACGGGUGAAAGCAGGGGAUCUUCGGACCUUGCGCGAUUGAAUGAGCCGAUGUCGGAUUAGCUAGUUGGCGGGGUAAAGGCCCACCAAGGCGACGAUCCGUAGCUGGUCUGAGAGGAUGAUCGGCCACACUGGAACGGAGACACGGUCCAGACUCCUACGGGAGGCAGCAGUGGGGAAUAUUGGACAAUGGGCGCAAGCCUGAUCCAGCCAUACCGCGUGUGUGAAGAAGGCCUUCGGGUUGUAAAGCCCUUUUGUUGGGAAAGAAAAGCAGCAGGUUAAUACCCCGCUGUUCUGACGGUACCCAAAGAAUAAGCACCGGCUAACUUCGUG